GUCACUUAGUAAUACUCGCACAUAACCACGCUGCAGAGUCGUCUAAAAACUACAGUGUGGACGCUGCAGCGGAAAAACUUUUAGAGAGUUCGGGGUGUAGAUGCUGUGACAGCGUCUGCCCCUCGCUCGACCACGUAGAGGCUUUGCCCACCUAGCCCAGGUGAGACGUCGCCUCGCAACGCCCCCCUGAGCUCGGGGGCUCCACGGAAACCAGGGGUUCAGACGCUGCUUGGCAACCUUCACCCCGAAGAAACCACGCAGGGGAUGUCCCGUGUAGCACAGAAGAGGCGUGGCUUUGCCACCCUUCUCGGUGCCGCGGGGCCCUGCGGAAACCAGGGGUGCGGACGCCGUUCGGAACGUGCGCCCCGAAAAAGCCACGCGGCGGAUACCUCUAGAGCUCCGGAGCCGACGCUGCUGAGCGACGGCCGGCCAGUGCCCGAGGGUGCCGCGGAACAGUGGAAAGAGAGUUACGGUGUUAUGGUGAUCAGCCGCAUAAACUGCACUCUAGACGGCCUUAAAGGGUGAAAAAACCUGUCUUCGUAGUUGCCAGUGAUGAUGGAGCAGUGUCUCACCGAUGGAGGAGUCGUGGGAUGGCUCGUAAACGUGCGGGCGCCAGGGACGCUUUGGAGGGACUAGGAAGAUGAAAUCAAAAGGAAAAAAGGAGAAAGAUCCCCCCUGCAAAUCCAGUUCCCCCCUGCAAAUCCAUGCACCGGUUCAUCUGCUCGGCUGCUGCUGCUUGACAGAGGUUCAAAGCAGAAGUAACUUCCUAGCGAAGAACCAUGGAAACUCAUCAGCUGCAGAGACGAGCAGACGGCCCAAAGAGCAGAAGAGCGAGCACGCCGAUGUGAACCGUAUCGAGACCGCAGUUGACGGCCGAACGCCUUUGAUCCCGCGCGCGAGAGCGAUGAACUUUGGGUUUCGUGUGAAAGAGUAGGAAAAUCGAUAUUGUAAGGCCUCAUUUGUUAAAGCGUGGUGUGAACUGUGUCAAGAUUCAGAAUCCUGCAUGAGAGAUAAAGUCCUUGAAGAUGAAGGUGAA
Molecule: long non-coding RNA, 1036 nt
Organism: Poecile atricapillus (Black-capped chickadee)
Lineage: Eukaryota; Metazoa; Chordata; Aves; Passeriformes; Paridae
Exons: 3
Source: RefSeq, a predicted model, not a curated record